This 468-nucleotide ribosomal RNA is filed under the name uncultured bacterium. Its description in RNAcentral is "partial 16S ribosomal RNA". It matches the Rfam family "Bacterial small subunit ribosomal RNA", at positions 28 to 507 of the family's 1533-position model. The record is from RNAcentral.
GACGAACGCUGGCGGCGUGCUUAACACAUGCAAGUCGAACGGAAGGGCCCUGCUUUUGUGGGGUGCUCGAGUGGCGAACGGGUGAGUAACACGUGAGUAACCUGCCCUUGACUUUGGGAUAACUUCAGGAAACUGGGGCUAAUACAGGAUAGAAGCUCCUGCUGCAUGGUGGGGGUUGGAAAGUUUCGGCGGUUGGGGAUGGACUCGCGGCUUAUCAGCUGGUUGGUGGGGUAGUGGCUUACCAAGCCUUUGACGGGUAGCCGGCCUGAGAGGGUGACCGGCCACAAUGGGACUGAGAGACGGCCCAGACUGCUACGGGAGGCAGCAGGGGGGAAUAUUGCACAAUGGGCGGAAGCCUGAUGCAGCAACGCCGCGUGCGGGAUGACGGCCUUCGGGUUGUAAACCGCUUUCGCCUGUGACGAAGCGUGAGUGACGGUAAUGUGUAAAGAAGCACCGGCUAACUACGUG